AAAUUGAAGAGUUUGAUCAUGGCUCAGAUUGAACGCUGGCGGCAGGCCUAACACAUGCAAGUCGAGCGGAAACGAGUUAUCAGAACCUUCGGGGGACGAUAACGGCGUCGAGCGGCGGACGGGUGAGUAAUGCCUAGGAAAUUGCCCUGAUGUGGGGGAUAACCAUUGGAAACGAUGGCUAAUACCGCAUGAUGCCUACGGGCCAAAGAGGGGGACCUUCGGGCCUCUCGCGUCAGGAUAUGCCUAGGUGGGAUUAGCUAGUUGGUGAGGUAAGGGCUCACCAAGGCGACGAUCCCUAGCUGGUCUGAGAGGAUGAUCAGCCACACUGGAACUGAGACACGGUCCAGACUCCUACGGGAGGCAGCAGUGGGGAAUAUUGCACAAUGGGCGCAAGCCUGAUGCAGCCAUGCCGCGUGUAUGAAGAAGGCCUUCGGGUUGUAAAGUACUUUCAGUCGUGAGGAAGGCGGCGUCGUUAAUAGCGGCGUUGUUUGACGUUAGCGACAGAAGAAGCACCGGCUAACUCCGUGCCAGCAGCCGCGGUAAUACGGAGGGUGCGAGCGUUAAUCGGAAUUACUGGGCGUAAAGCGCAUGCAGGUGGUUUGUUAAGUCAGAUGUGAAAGCCCGGGGCUCAACCUCGGAAUUGCAUUUGAAACUGGCAGACUAGAGUACUGUAGAGGGGGGUAGAAUUUCAGGUGUAGCGGUGAAAUGCGUAGAGAUCUGAAGGAAUACCGGUGGCGAAGGCGGCCCCCUGGACAGAUACUGACACUCAG
This 770-nucleotide ribosomal RNA is filed under the name Vibrio parahaemolyticus. RNAcentral describes it as "bacterial SSU rRNA". It matches the Rfam family "Bacterial small subunit ribosomal RNA", at positions 1 to 750 of the family's 1533-position model. The record is from RNAcentral. Lineage: Bacteria; Pseudomonadati; Pseudomonadota; Gammaproteobacteria; Vibrionales; Vibrionaceae.